UCCCCUUUUCCGGCAGCCUAGAAUCUUACACUUGCUCUCUGUAUUGCAGCCUCCGCCAGCGCUAACGUCAUCUGCCUGUGCUUCCUACAUCUUCAGGUCUUCGAACUUCAUUUCCCAGAAUUCCUAGCCCUACUCCCAGCCGGCCGAGGCUUCUGGGAGUUGAAGUUCCAAACACCUGGAAGACCAACGUUAGAGAACACAAAAAAAUCGGACCGGGCAGCCUUUCGAACGUUGUGGCACUUCAACUCCCAGCAUUCUCCUCAAGAGCAUGGCUGGGAGUUGUAGUUCAAUAGCAUCAAGUGGCUCCGAAACCUUUUUUAAAGUCGGAGAGUCUCGGGAAGAGGCAGAAUGUCAUAGAAUCCCACGGGAAGCAACGGUUUGAGACAGCGGGUCUGAUGGCUUUAGAUGCAGAACUAUUGCAUCCCAUGGAAAUCAAUGAUUUAAAGCAGCAUCCUUGUCUCAAGGGUCCAAUGAAUUUAGAUCAGGCAUAGGAGGCUGUUAGGAAUUGAAGUCCAAAACACCUGGAGGGCCGAAGUUUGCCCAUGCCUGGUUUAGAUGCAGAACUACUGGAUCCCACGGAAAACAACAGUUUAAGACAGCAUCCCUGUCUCAAGGGUCCGUUUCUUUAGCUGCAGAACUAUUGCAUCCCAUGGAAAGGGAUUCUGGCAGAUUUGCAUGAAGAAAAAUAGCUGGUGGUGGAGACUUAUUGUCUAUGUGUGAUGAGGAAAAUAGCAGGCACCUAUGAGGAAGUACUAAAAGUGAUGAGAGGACAAGGAAUGAAAAUGAGUGAGGGAAGACUGGAAGGUAUGAUCACCUCCCGAUUCCUGCCCUUUGUCUCACAGAAGGUUAAACAUACCCAGUUCUUUCAGACGCUCCUCAUAGAAUAGAGAGACAGCAUGACUUCACUUGAUCUAGACACUACUCUCCUUUAAAUGCAGCCCAAAAUCCCAUUGGCUUUUUUAGCUGCAGCAUCAUGUUGUGGAUAGACGUUAAGACCUUCUGGGGAGGCCCUGCUCUCGGUCCCGCCACUUUCACAGGUGCGGCUGUCAGAGAUGAGAGAGAGGGCCUUUACAGUUGUGGCGCCUCGACUGCAGUGAUGUGAGAUCAGCCUCCUCCCUCCUGGCAUUCAGAAAACAAAUAAAAUCCUGGCUUUGGAAACAGGCAUUCAGAGAAUAGACUAGUGACAAUGUAAUAGGCAGCUGCGAAUUAUGUGACUGUAACUGGAAUGGCUAAUGGACUCUGAUAAUGGAUUAUGUCAUUGUUUUAAUUGCUGUUUUAAAUCCUGUUUUAAUUGUAUUUAUAUGUUAUUGUUUUAUGUUUAUGAUUUAAAGUUUCAUGUAUUUUUGACAUAGCAUCAAAUUGUGCCAAGUUGUAAGUCGCUCUGAGCCCCCCUUGGGGUGCGAUAGGGCGGGAUAGGAAUACAGUAAAUAAAUAUAAUAAAUUGUUG
This is a long non-coding RNA of Anolis carolinensis (green anole), 1447 nucleotides long. RefSeq lists it as uncharacterized. NCBI's taxonomy places the organism in Eukaryota, Metazoa, Chordata, Lepidosauria, Squamata, Anolidae. The transcript has 2 exons. The record is from RefSeq and is a predicted model, not a curated record.